AUAAUUUUAUGUUCAACUGUAGGCA
This 25-nucleotide non-coding RNA is filed under the name Cricetulus griseus (Chinese hamster). The record is from RNAcentral. Lineage: Eukaryota; Metazoa; Chordata; Mammalia; Rodentia; Cricetidae.